UACGUAGGGGGCAAGCGUUGUCCGGAUUUAUUGGGCGUAAAGAGCGUGUAGGCGGCCAUACAGGUCAGCUGUGAAAACUCGAGGCUCAACCUCGAGACGUCGGUUGAAACCGUAUGGCUAGAGUCCGGAAGAGGAGAGUGGAAUUCCCGGUGUAGCGGCGAAAUGCGCAGAUAUCGGGAAGAACACCCGUGGCGAAGGCGGCUCUCUGGGACGGUACUGACGCUGAGACGCGAAAGCGUGGGGAGCGAACGAGGA
This 255-nucleotide ribosomal RNA is filed under the name uncultured bacterium. RNAcentral describes it as "partial 16S ribosomal RNA". It matches the Rfam family "Bacterial small subunit ribosomal RNA", at positions 524 to 778 of the family's 1533-position model. The record is from RNAcentral.